GCUCAGCCGUUAACAAAGACAGCAUAAAACACAACGCUGUUCGCCAGAGAACUACAAGCUAAAGCUGAAAACUCCAAGGACUUGGCGGUGCUCCACAUCACCCUAGAGGAGCCUGUCCUAUAAUCGAUACCCCCCGAUCUACCUCACCAUUUUUUGAAGUUCAGUCUAUAUACCGCCGUCGUCAGCCUACCUUAUGAAAGAGCCAUAGCAAGCAAAACAGUCACCAACUAAAACGUCAGGUCAAGGUGUAGCACAUAAAAUGGAAGAGAUGGGCUACACUCUCUCCCCCAGAGAACACGAACAGCAUCAAUGAAACACUGCUCGAAGGCGGAUUUAGUAGUAAGAUAAACGAGAGAACUUAUCUUAAACCAGCCCUGGAGCGCGC
RNAcentral lists this ribosomal RNA (385 nucleotides) under Oligosoma moco. RNAcentral describes it as "partial 12S ribosomal RNA". It matches the Rfam family "Bacterial small subunit ribosomal RNA", at positions 794 to 1384 of the family's 1533-position model. Lineage: Eukaryota; Metazoa; Chordata; Lepidosauria; Squamata; Scincidae. The record is from RNAcentral.